RNAcentral lists this ribosomal RNA (485 nucleotides) under uncultured bacterium. Its description in RNAcentral is "bacterial SSU rRNA". It matches the Rfam family "Bacterial small subunit ribosomal RNA", at positions 29 to 534 of the family's 1533-position model. The record is from RNAcentral.
AACGAACGCUGGCGGCAUGCCUAACACAUGCAAGUCGAACGCCCUCUUCGGAGGGAGUGGCGCACGGGUGCGUAACGCGUGGGAACCUGCCCUUAGGUUCGGAAUAACUCAGAGAAAUUUGAGCUAAUACCGGAUAAUGUCUUCGGACCAAAGAUUUAUCGCCUUUGGAUGGGCCCGCGUUGGAUUAGCUAGUUGGUGGGGUAAAGGCCUACCAAGGCGACGAUCCAUAGCUGGUCUGAGAGGAUGAUCAGCCACACUGGGACUGAGACACGGCCCAGACUCCUACGGGAGGCAGCAGUGGGGAAUAUUGGACAAUGGGCGAAAGCCUGAUCCAGCCAUGCCGCGUGUGUGAAGAAGGUCUUCGGAUUGUAAAGCACUUUAAGUUGGGAGGAAGGGUAGUAACCUAAUACGUUGCUACUUUGACGUUACCGACAGAAUAAGCACCGGCUAACUUCGUGCCAGCAGCCGCGGUAAAGUGACUACUG